Zophobas morio is the source of this 2019-nucleotide long non-coding RNA. RefSeq lists it as uncharacterized. The transcript has 5 exons. NCBI's taxonomy places the organism in Eukaryota, Metazoa, Arthropoda, Insecta, Coleoptera, Tenebrionidae. The record is from RefSeq and is a predicted model, not a curated record.
UGGGUUUUAAAGCCUUGAUGGAUCCAUUAUUAAGACCUAAUUUUGCUAGUGCAUAUUUAUUACUAUUAGAAUUAAUAGCAGGCUUAAUAUCAACUCCGGCUUCUAUUUGGUCUUUUCAGCAAAACUUGGACAUAUUUAAUAGUUCUUUAAAUAGUUUAAGACUGGCUUUUGGCUGCUAAUCAAUUGAACUACCACCUGCCUCUCCAUUAGUAAGACAGGUAAAAGAUUGUAUAACACAACGUAGGAGAGGGGUUUUGCUUUCAGUACGUAGCCCGAUUUACAAAUUUAUGACUAUAGUCCGGGUCAAAAAUGGUGGUUUGGGACGAUGAUUAAUUAAGCGUAACCUUAUAAAGACAUCGAUGAACGAACAAGGCCGGUCUCGUAUGCUAUUCUCGUCGGGCUUUGGCGUUUUUUUUCAGCGAAAAACCAUUGUCUUUAUAAAUAUGCAUGGGGGACAUGGGGUAGUGUGAAUUAAGGACUUAAAACUGUUGCUGGCAAGAAAGAUGAACUAAGUUGUUGAUGAACUAAACUUAAAAUUAAAGAAGUUUUCUUGGGGCAGGUUUGUUGGUUGUACUUUACUUAUUUGGAGAACAACAUAUCUGGAAAACGGGUUAUGACCUAAUGCUUCUUACACGAAUUAACAUGUCUCAUUCUAAACAGGUCAAAUACCAAAUGUAUAUUUUAGGAGAGAGAGAUGUACAGAUGUGAUUAAAGCAAAAAAAGGACUAAAAAGAUGUUAACACGACUGCCGGUUUAUUAUUCGUGAACUCUCAUUAUAUACUAACAAGUAAUCAAUGAAAUAAUCAAUAAUAAUCAUAAAAUUGCCUAAAAAUGAUAAGGCGUGAGUGCCCUUUUGGGAACCAGGCGGAGGGCUACAGUACCUAGCGAGUUUCACGAGACAUCUAUCCAAUGCAUAGCAAGUAACUUGUCUCAACACUUUAAAGGUUACCGUAAAGAGCACUGAAAAACUGCGAAAAUGGUUCUGAUAUCUAAAAUGAUAUCGUGAACUUUUAUUAAAACUAGAAGUAACACCUUUGAAGUUCAAGUUUUCUCGAAAAUCCAUAAUGGGAGUGGGGUGUUCCUUUAUAUAGAAGUCAAGAACAAAAAAAGUCCCGUUAUCAACGGAAGCUGAAUGCUGGUAAGGUACAGUUCUUAAGUUCCCGCCCAGGUGAUGUUAAAAACGAUAAUCAAGAGUAUAUAUUAUUUUUUAAUUAUUAUCUCCUUGCUUUCCAACACACUAAUUAUAAAUUAACUUUUCUUAAUCCCCAUGAAAAUACUGUGAAUUUUUGUCCAUUAAAUGUGCAUAAAAAACAGAUCUCACUUCACUCACUUCACUCUCUUCCUCAAAUCUCCUCCCCUUAGAGUCCUAUUUGAGUUUUGCAAAGUGUAUGUAAUGUGAGGGUGACUUGCUCGAGAGUUUUGCAAAUCAUAAGCAAGUGAGCACGCUUUUAUUGUUGUAUAGUACUUACUCGCUCUUAGUUUCCUCGGAAGUUAAAAAUUGUAAAUUAAAUCACCAUAGUUUUCUUUAGCCUUUUAAAUUUCCUAUAAUACAUAUUUAUUUUUUUAAAAUAUACGGGUUCUCGAGACUAUCAGCCGUGAACAACUAAAGAGGAAACAGUCGCCGGAGGGGUCAGGUCUGAACUCUAAAGGGGAUGGUUUAGUUCAAUAAGGCUAUACCCACGAACUACAGCGGUAUGGGUUAACACAACAACAGUCUACACAACACCUAAGGCACAAUUUAAAAUACAAGAUACAAAAACACAAUAUACGGAAAACACAAAAACAUAAUUAGAAAAAAAAAAAUAAACCGAGAUUACAAAAAUCAUAUUGUAUAAUAUAUUAAGUAUAAAGUACACAACCAGAAAACACAUAUACAUAAAAACAAAAAUACGAAAACAAACAAGCACAAAACACUAACCCUUUAAAUUUUCACAAAAAUUGAUCCGUGAUCUAAUUAAUCCAAUCAGAAACCUGUGAAACAGCCAACACAAAUAAAAUUGGAAUCUACCUUAUUAAAUU